Nicotiana tabacum (common tobacco) is the source of this 839-nucleotide long non-coding RNA. RefSeq lists it as uncharacterized. Lineage: Eukaryota; Viridiplantae; Streptophyta; Magnoliopsida; Solanales; Solanaceae. The record is from RefSeq and is a predicted model, not a curated record.
UUUCUCCCUUCUUCUUCACAGCAAAUCCGCUGCUGUAACAUCAGUCAGCAAACCCCUCCCCAGAUCUUUAUCUUCUUCAAGAGACCCCCAUUCCCUUCAAAAGAGAUCAAUCAAAAUCUACACAAAAAAGAAUAAGAGGAACCACACACACAAAAGAGAAAAAUGGUAGAGAGAACGCUUUUUGUUUCUUCUUCAAAAAAAUAUCGGCCAUACAGACACUGAAGACAGAAUACGAGAACUGAAAGAAGAGCACAAAAAAAGAGAACGUUUGAAAAAAAGAGCAAAAAUCUUCAUCUUCUUCAAUAGGAAAAUCCACCAUCAAAGCUCCAUAGCUAUGGCAACAACUUAACCCACCAUACAACACAGUAACGCCACCUUAUCUCCUCCUUAAACCACUGGCUGAAACUGACCCAACUAGAAUAAAAGAGCUUUAGUCAAGGUAUGAAAUUUCAUUCUAUGUUUUCGGCACGAGUCUUGGUCAUGAUUUGUUUGUGCGAGAGCUUAGCAGUCCUUCAUUCUUUAUGUAUUGAAGAUUAUAUUUGAGCUAUUUAAAAGGUGUGGAUCUACUUACCGGAGUUUGGGCAUGACAGACGCCUUAGGACCAUCCAGUCAAGAACGCUCAUUCAGGAGUUUGUUUAAGGAUUUUUUUUAAUGUUAUGUUUUGAGUUUUUUUAUGUCGUCUUUACCUUCUAGUUUUGUAUAAUAAUACCAAGUCUUUUAGGUGACAUUAGAGUCUGUCAUAGGCUAGUUAAGUUUGUUGAGUCUUUCGUUAUGGUAUUUCCUAUUUUGUAUUUGAAAAAAAAAAGUGUAAUAAAUCAAAAAAAAAGAUUUUGCGUUUU